This is a long non-coding RNA of Oncorhynchus tshawytscha (Chinook salmon), 1505 nucleotides long. RefSeq lists it as uncharacterized. The transcript is spliced from 4 exons. The record is from RefSeq and is a predicted model, not a curated record. Lineage: Eukaryota; Metazoa; Chordata; Actinopteri; Salmoniformes; Salmonidae.
AGGGCAGGACAUGGACACAAUGCAAUUAGGAUCAAGAAGAAGAUCUUCUCAGAAAUGAAUCAAGUCCAUGGAAUGGAUAUAGACAAAAAGAGAAAUAAAGGACAAUCAGAGGGAGAGGUGAGGCAGGGGUGAGGACAUCAUCCUGCCAUCUUGACAGUCCCUGAAGGACAGUACAGAAGAGGACUGGAGACCACAGCAGUGAUUCUGCUUUUGCCCAACCUCUUCAAUGAGGACCCGCGUGGCCUGUAUGUUCGUGACAAGAUUUCACUGCUCUUCACUCCUUUCUGGCACAUCAGUGGAAAUCCAUUUCACCACGAGAGUGAAAUCCCGCUGGCCUUUGAUGGGGAGAACAUCCACGCCUCGAGGACGUCCCCAUGGGACUUGGGGCUCUGCUAGGGCUGAAUUUGUAAUUUUCCCCAAAAUGUCAGAAAAACACUUAUGUUGAUAAGUUACUGUGUUCUGGGGAUAAGAGAAGUUGGGGUGAAGUUACCAGGGCCGGUCAUAAAGAUGGCAAACUUCCUAACAUAACUAAGUGGAUACGAUAUACACACCAAAGCUGAAACAUCUGUAUUUAGCAUCAAGUCUACAAUAUUGUUAGUUUACCUAUGAUUCAUUUUUAAUGUAUGUUGUUUUUAUUGUACAUCAUUUAUAUAUAUUUAUCAAAUGAGGAGACAAACUUAUCACACAAGUCAGAGUUAUUCUGAAACUAAAUCGUUAUUCACUUAUUAAUAAGGGAGCAGGUCAAUACAACGCACACAUAUAAUGUUAAUUAAUUGAGUGUUCUACAAUAAUGAUGGCUGGUCGACGAAUCACCCCCAGAUGAUUCGUUGAGAGCCACGAGACAAAAGCACAAAGGUCUUGCAUAGCCAAGAUAUACCCUUUUCAAUCUACAUGAUAAACAACAGAUGUAUAGAACGGGUCACAAGAUUAAGAUUUGUAUGAAAGAUACUUAUAAUUUUCAGCAGACAGUAUCUGCUGUAAAAACAGUACUCUUUGUGUAGAGACCAGGGUCUGGCCCUGCGGUCAUCUCCCCCUGGUACCAUAUAGAACAGAAACAUUAACUCAUGCUCUGGAAUCCGGUCUCGUUAGGUUUUAUCACCCAAAAGACAUUGUAAAUCUCCUAUCAGUGUUUUCUCCCAGAGGCCCAUCCUCAGUAGAACACACAGACACAAUAGUUAUAAGAACCCUCUAUUCUGUUGCAAUAAAACAACCAUUUGAUGCAAUAAAAGUAUUAUAAAUAAUCUUGCAAAUUUUCUCUCAGUAUCCACUGAAAGUUGACUAGUAACAACAAUUGGGAUAUAAAAGUCACCCACCAUGAAACCCACUAAAUCUGCCCAAGAAGCGACAAACAAAAGAAAAACCCACAACAAACUUAAAAACGGGAAGUAAAACCAAAAAGGUGGAGCAACUAAAGGUGUUGACUCUCCACAUCUAUCAAAACAACUGGAGCACUGGGCCAGACACUCUUAAAUAGAACCUGGACCAGCUCAGGUGAAACACCUGUU